This 72-nucleotide transfer RNA is filed under the name Bos taurus (domestic cattle). It matches the Rfam family "tRNA". From Rfam's summary of the family: Transfer RNA (tRNA) molecules are approximately 80 nucleotides in length. RNAcentral also lists the same sequence under 4 other names. Lineage: Eukaryota; Metazoa; Chordata; Mammalia; Artiodactyla; Bovidae. The record is from Rfam by way of RNAcentral.
UCCCUGGUGGCUUAGACAGUAAAGCAUCUGCCUGCAAUGUGGGAGACCUGGGUUCAAUCCCUGGGUUGGGAA